Molecule: long non-coding RNA, 440 nt
Filed under: Geospiza fortis (medium ground-finch)
Lineage: Eukaryota; Metazoa; Chordata; Aves; Passeriformes; Thraupidae
Description: lncRNA (ENSGFOG00000013929.1)
Source: RNAcentral
AUUCAUAGAAAGGCAGAUGGGAGCAGAAAAUGUUGCAAUGAAGAAUAUGGAAUGAGAUGAGAUCACAGCAUCAGUCUGUCCUUUGUAGAUCUGGACAAUGAUCACAGAGCCAGAUUGGAUUAGUGAAACCUAUUUACCAGAAGUUCAGAGCGGUUGCAUGAAGCUGAAAGGCAGUCAGUAGGGAGAGGUGGAAAAUGCACCAGAUUUACAGCUGCAGCGAUGAAAAUUUAGAAGUUUUCACUGUGAUUUCUUCCAAAUCAUGUAGUCCUGCCCGAAGACGAGCCAAAGCUUCACAGCACAUCCUUGCAAAGAGUGUGGUGGCCAUACCAGAGCACCGGUCCCACCAAGACCAUCUCCUGCGAGUGCUGUACAAGGAGGAGGCACGGGGCAGCCCAGGGCAGCGCAGAGCCAGCCCCAGCAAGAGCACUGCCCAGCACCCU